GGGACACGUGGUAUCCUGUCUGAAUAUGGGGGGACCAUCCUCCAAGGCUAAAUACUCCUGACUGACCGAUAGUGAACCAGUACCGUGAGGGAAAGGCGAAAAGAACCCCGGCGAGGGGAGUGAAAAAGAACCUGAAACCGUGUACGUACAAGCAGUGGGAGCACGCUUAGGCGUGUGACUGCGUACCUUUUGUAUAAUGGGUCAGCGACUUAUAUUCUGUAGCAAGGUUAACCGAAUAGGGGAGCCGAAGGGAAACCGAGUCUUAACUGGGCGUUAAGUUGCAGGGUAUAGACCCGAAACCCGGUGAUCUAGCCAUGGGCAGGUUGAAGGUUGGGUAACACUAACUGGAGGACCGAACCGACUAAUGUUGAAAAAUUAGCGGAUGACUUGUGGCUGGGGGUGAAAGGCCAAUCAAACCGGGAGAUAGCUGGUUCUCCCCGAAAGCUAUUUAGGUAGCGCCUCGUGAAUUCAUCUCCGGGGGUAGAGCACUGUUUCGGCAAGGGGGUCAUCCCGACUUACCAACCCGAUGCAAACUGCGAAUACCGGAGAAUGUUAUCACGGGAGACACACGGCGGGUGCUAACGUCCGUCGUGAAGAGGGAAACAACCCAGACCGCCAGCUAAGGUCCCAAAGUCAUGGUUAAGUGGGAAACGAUGUGGGAAGGCCCAGACAGCCAGGAUGUUGGCUUAGAAGCAGCCAUCAUUUAAAGAAAGCGUAAUAGCUCACUGGUCGAGUCGGCCUGCGCGGAAGAUGUAACGGGGCUAAACCAUGCACCGAAGCUGCGGCAGCGACGCUGAUGCGUUGUUGGGUAGGGGAGCGUUCUGUAAGCCUGCGAAGGUGUGCUGUGAGGCAUGCUGGAGGUAUCAGAAGUGCGAAUGCUGACAUAAGUAACGAUAAAGCGGGUGAAAAGCCCGCUCGCCGGAAGACCAAGGGUUCCUGUCCAACGUUAAUCGGGGC
Molecule: ribosomal RNA, 957 nt
Filed under: Escherichia coli
Lineage: Bacteria; Pseudomonadati; Pseudomonadota; Gammaproteobacteria; Enterobacterales; Enterobacteriaceae
Description: partial 23S ribosomal RNA
Rfam family: Bacterial large subunit ribosomal RNA
Source: RNAcentral